Molecule: long non-coding RNA, 24217 nt
Organism: Cornus florida
Lineage: Eukaryota; Viridiplantae; Streptophyta; Magnoliopsida; Cornales; Cornaceae
Exons: 7
Source: RefSeq, a predicted model, not a curated record
UCUUGGGUUUCUGGUCGAAUCGAUCCUCUUUUUCGCUUUUCUUCGAUCUGACCUUAAGAAUGAUUUCAAGUACGGUCUUUUGGAAGAGCUAAGAGAAUCUCUACCUGGUUGUACUGCAGGAAAUGAUCAAUCUUUUGCUCUUUAAUUGUUAUAAGCAUGGCGAGAAUGAUAUAUAGCUGUUGUUGUUAUAGAACCUUCUGCUUGAUAGUUUGUGUUAGGAUAUUGAGUGAGUGGCAUAUUUUACCCAAAACCUGAAUUGCAAUGUGUCAAAGUGCCUGGAGUUGUUCGUGAACAUAUAUUCUUUUUUGGAUAUAGCUAUUACUGUUGCUUGUAACUACAUCUUGUAGGGGUUCCAGGACAGUUCUGGAUGGUUCAAUAAUUCUAUAUGCUGUUAGUAAUGAUGCAUUAGGUUUUAACUGUCAACUUUGAGCUCUCUUUAGGAUUAACUAAAGAUGCUGUUCAGGAAUGCAGUGCUUCUCCUUGGAUGAGACUGAUUGGACAUCAGUUGAUCCCUUCUGAUACGUAGAGAUCCCUCUGCUUUUGAUAUGGUGAGAUGCAGGAGCUACCUGCAACCUGCUGCAGCAACUGUUUACUUGUUACCUCUGGCUUACAUUUGUGCUAUUUUGGGAAAACCUUUGUUGAGUUGGGCCAUAUUGUAACGAUACAGGAUGUAGGAACACAUUAGAGAGGUUUAUUAUUUGACUCUUUCUCCACCUACAAGCUAUAUGUUCUUUCCUUUCCAGCUUCUUUCUAAGCAAAAUUAUUCAGUGUUGAUGGAUGUACGCAAAACCUUGGUAUCUUGUGUUUUUAUAUUACCUACCUUACACUUCACUUCCAAUUCUCUCUUCUUUUUUUUUUGUAUUAUCUUCCUUACCAAUGAUUUUUAUAUCUGCUACUCGCAAAUUUAGGGUAUCAUAUAUUUACGUUUUAGCAUGUAAGAAUGAGUUUCUUUUGCUGGUUGCUCGUUCUUUUUUGCUUGUUUGCAGUCACUUGAAGAUGGACUUUGUGAACGUUACAGAACCUUUUACAUGGCUGGACUUCUUACUUGUUAUUGGACUGUACAUCUGUGAUUAGUUGAAAACAGAAGAGUAUCUCAUUCUUUGUUUUUGUUUUUAGUUCUUUGAUUUUGCAUGACCUCUCUUUUUGGUGUUUUUACAGACACUUGUUAUUUUGCUUGUUUAUAGUUGAUUUUGAGAGUGGUCUUUUGGAAGAGCUGAGAGAACCUUUUGGUUAGACUGCAGGAAAUGAUCAAUGUUUCUGUAAGUUUGUAUUCGGAUAUUGAGUCAUUGGCAUAUCUUACCCAAUACCCGAGUUUUAAUUUAUUAAAGUGCCUUGAGUUGUUUACGGACAUUUUUUGAAGAAAUGGCAGACAAAAAAUGAUAUGAUUAUGUGGAAUAUUUGCAUCCUCAAUCGCACAAUUAGGUAUCAGGUAAAUGGACUUUAGUUAAUACCUUAGUUUGACCUUUGAUCUUUGUUUGGCUCAUAAACUGUUUUGAUUCUUAAGUUUUAGAUUUUUUUCAAAAGCUUGGAAAUUAUUCUUUGAUUGAUCCAGAGAGCUUGUGGCUGGCAGGCAUUCGAUUGGUCUUGGUUUGUACUAAUUUACGUUUUGAUAGUUGUGUAGUAUAUUUGGUAUUAUUUCACCAUCUUUCCAAUUUUUACUGCUGUGUUUAAUCUUCCUUCAUCAAUAUUUCUAUUUUCCAUCGGCCAUUUGUUCAGGAAAUUUGCGGAUCUUUCUUACUUGAAAUAUAGGUGAGGAUUAGAAUUCCUUUGCAAUUCAUUAUAAAUGGGUUAUUCUAUUUGUACAGAUAUAGUGGAGAGGUGCAUUAAAUCAUUUUUAUCUUUUAGUUCUCAGUUCGUCUUUAACGCGGGGCAGAGCAGUUUGGUAGCUCGCAAGGCUCAUAACCUUGAGGUCAUGGGUUCAAAUCCGGUCUCCGCUGCAUAAUUUUUAUGCUUGGUUUUUUAAUAUUUUUUUUUUACCAUAUAUGAAUGCGUUUCUUUUGCUUGUUGCUCGUUACUUUUUUGUUUGCUUGCAGUCACUUGAAUAUGGACAUAGUGAAAGCUAAAGAACCUUUUUUGUGGCUGGACUUCUUACAUGUUCUUGGAAUGUACAUCCUGUGAUUAGUUGAAAUCAAAAGAGUAUCUAAUUCUCUGUUUUUGUUAUUUGUUCUGUCGGCUUGGAUUUUGCUUGGCCUCUCGUUUUGGUGUUUACGGACACUUGUUAUUUUGGUUGUUUUUAGUUGAUUUUGAGAGCGGUCUUUUGGAAAAGGUAAGAGAAACUUUGCCUGGUUAAACUGCAGGAAAUGAUCAAAUGUUUCUGUAAGUUUGUACUACGAUAUUGAGUCAUUGGCAUAUCUUACCCAAAACCUGAGUUGUAAUGUAUCAAAGUGCCUUGAGUUUAUGGACAUUUUUUUUGAAGAUAUGACGGACAAAAAAGCCGAAGAUCAUUGUGGAAUAUUUGCAUCCUCAAUCGCACAAUUAGGUAUCAGGUAAUAUUUAGUUCAGAGUUAGAAUUCAUUGAUUGCAUGGUUGAUAGAUGGAAUGCCUGCGUGACUUCUGGAUCUCAAUGAAUGCCAGUAAUGCUCGAUAUGUGUCAUAGUGCAGUCUGGACCUUGUGGUAGGCAGCAUUCGAAUCGUCAUGGUUUGUGCUUAUUUAGGUUUUGAAAGUUGUGUAACAGUAUAUUUGGUAUUAUUUCACCUUCUUCCCAAUUUUUACCGCCGUGUUAUUCUUCCUUCAUCUAUAUUUCUCUUUUCCACUAUUUGUUCAGAAAAUUUGAGGAUCUUUCUUGCUUGAAAUAUUAGGUGAGGAUUACUAUUCCCUUACAAUUCAUUAUAAGUGGGUUAAUCUAUUUGUGCUUAUAUUUUGUAUUAUUUCACCAUCAUCCCAAUUUUUGCCGCUGUGUUUAUUCUUCCUUCAUCUAUAUUUCUCUUUUCCACCAUUUGUUCUUAAAAUUCAUGGAUCUUUCUUACACUGAAUAUUAGGUGAGGAUUGCUAUUUGAUAUAGUGGGGGAGCAUAUUAAAUCCUUGUUUGUCUAUUAGUUCUCGGUUCUUGUCUUCAGCGUGGGGCAGAGCAGUUUGGUAGCUCACAAGGCUCCUAACCUUGACGUCAUGGGUUCAAAUCCCGUCUCCGCAGCUUUAUUUUUAUUCUUGGUUUUUUAUUUUUUAUUUAUUUUUAACGUGUGUGAAUAAGUUUGUUAUGCUGGUUUUCCGUUACUUUUUUGCUUGUUUGCAGUCACUUGAAGUUUGGCUUGGUGAAAGUUAAAAGAGUCUUUUGUGUGGCUAGACUUCUUCCUUGUCUUUGGACUGUCCAUCCUGUGAUUAGUUGAAAACAGAAAAUAGUAUCUAAUUCUUUGUUUUUGUUUUUUGUUCUUUUUUUUUUUUUUCGCUUGACCUCUCUCUUUGGUGUUUAUAAACGCUUGUUAUUUUGCUUUAUUUGUAGUUAAUUUUGAGAGCGGUCUAUUGGAAGAGCUUAAGAGAACCUUUACCUGGUUAGACUGCAGGAAAUGAUCGAUGUUUCUGUAAGUUUGUUUUAGCAUAUUAAGUCAUUUGCAUACCUUACUCAAAACCUGAGUUGUAAUGUAUCAAAGUGCUUUGAGUUGUUUAUGGACAUUUUUUUUGAAGACAUGGCAGACAAAAAAUUGAGAUCAUAAUGGUGGAAUAUUUGCAUUCUCAAUCGCACAAUUAUGUAUCAGGUAAAUGGACUUCAGUAAAAGCCUAGUUUGACCUUUGAUAUUGGUUUGGCUCUUAAACUAUUUUGGUCUUAAACUUAAGUUUUAGAUUUAUAUUAUUUUCGAAAGCUUGGAAGUUAUGUGUUGUUCGAUCUAGAGCUUUGAUCGAAUGAUCAACAGAUUGAAUUUGUUUCUGUUGAUAUUUUGGUCAAAGUUAGAAUGUGUUGAUUGCACGGUGGAUAGGAGGGUGAAUUCCUUUUAGACCUCUCUUAGGCUUCGGAUCAAUCGUACUUGUCAAACCUACGUAUUCGGUGCCUGUAUAAUAGUAUUGGCGUCUUUUUAUGUAGAAUCUCAUAGAAGGCCGGGAAAUGUCAUGGUGCAAUUGGUACCUUGUGGUAGGUAGAUUUCGAUUCGUCUUGGAUUGUCCUUGUAUUUGGUAUUAUUCCAUCAUCAUCCCAAUUUUUACCGCUGUGUUUAUUCUUCCUUCAUCUAUAUUUCUCUUUUCCACAAUUUGUUCUGAAAAUACAUUGAUCUUUCUUACACUGAAUAUAAGGUGAGGAUUGCUAUUCCUUUACAAUUCAUUACAAAUGGCUUCUUAUUCUAUUUGUUCAGAUAUAGUGGGGGAGCAUAUUAAAUCCUUGUUUAUCUAUUAGUUCUCAGUUCUUGUCUUCAGCGUGUGGCAGAGCUGUUUGGUAGCUCACAAGGCUCCCAACCUUGACAUCAUGGGUUCAAAUCCUGUAUCCACAGCUUUCUUUUUAUUCUUUACGUGUUUUUUUAACAUGUGUGAAUAAGUUUGUUAUGCUGGUUCUCCGUUGCCUUUUUGCUUGUUUGCUGUCACUUGAAGAUUGGCUUGGUGAAAGUUAAAGAGCCUUUUGCGAGCUAGACUUCUUCUUUGUCUUUGGACUGUACAUCCUGUGAUUAGUUGAAAACAGAAGAUGGUAUCGAAUUCUAUGUUUUUUUUUUUUUGCCUGACCUCUCUCUUUGGUGCUUACAAAUGCUUGUUAUUUUGCUUUAUUUGUAGUUGAUUUUGAGAGCGGUCUAUUGGAAGAGCUAAGAGAAUCUUUACCUGGUUAGACUGCGGGAAAUGAUCGAUGUUUAGACUGCGGGAAAUGAUCGAUGUUUCUGUAAGUUUUUUUUAGGAUAUUGAGUCAUUUGCAUAUCUUACCCAAAACCUGAGUUGUAAUGUAUCAAAGAGAGUUGAGUUGUUUAUGGACAUUUUUUUGAAGACAUGGCAGACAAAAAAUUGAGAUCAUAAUGGUGGAAUAUUUGCAUUCUCAAUCGCACAAUUAUGUAUCAGGUAAAUGGACUUCAGUAAAAACCUUAGUUUGACCUUUGAUCUUGGUGUGGCUCUUAAACUAUUUUGGUCCUAAACUUUUAAGUUUUAGAUUUAUAUUAUUUUUGAAAGCUUGGAAGUUGUGUGUUGUUCGAUCCAGAGAGCUUUGAUGGAAUGAUCAACCCGAUUGAAUUGGUUUCUGUUGAUAUUUAGGUCAAAGUCAGAAUGCGUCGAUUGCAUGGUGGAUAGGGUGAAUUCCUUUUAGACUUCUUGUAGUCUUUGAUCAAUCGUACUUGUCAAACCUACGUAUUCGGUGCCUGUAUAAUAGUAUUUGCGUGUUAAUAUGUAGAAUCUCAAAGAAGGGUUCGGGAAAUGUCAUAGUGCAAUCGGGACCUUGUGGUAGGUAGCAUUCGAUUCGUCUUGGAUUGUGCUUAUAUUUGUUUUUAUUUCAUCAUCAUCCCAACUUUUACCGCUGUGUUUAUUCUUCCUUCAUCUAUAUUUCUCUUUUCCACCAUUUGUUCUGAAAAUGCAUUGAUCUUUCUUACAUUGAAUAUUAGGUGAGGAUUGUUAUUCCUUUACAAUUCAUUACAAAUGGCUUCUUAUUCUAAUUGUUCAGAUAUUGUGGGGGAGCAUAUUAAAUCCUUGUCUGUCUAUUAGUUCUCAGUUCUUGUCUUCAGCGUGUGGCAGAGCAGUUUGGUAGCUCACAAGGCUCCUAACCUUGAUGCCAUGGGUUCAAAUCCCGUCUCCGCAGCUUUCUUUUUAUUCCUUUUAAGUUUGUUAUGCUGGUUGUCCGUUACUUUUUUGCUUGUUUACCUUUUUGCUUGUUUGCUGUCACUUGAAGAUUGGCUUGGUGAAAGUUAAAUAGCCUUUUGCAAGCUAGACUUCUUCCUUGUCUUUGGACUGUACAUCCUGUGAUUAGUUGAAAACAGAAGAUGGUAUUGAAUUCUCUGUUUUUGUUUUUUGUUCUAUUUUUUUUUUAUUUUUCUUUUCGUUCGACUCUCUUUGGUGUUAACAAACACUAGUUGUUUUUUGCUUUAUUUGUAGUUGAUUUUGAUAGCGGUCUAUUGGAAGAGCUAAGAGAACCUUUACCUGGUUUGACUGCUGGAAAUGAUCGAUGUUUCUGUAAGUUUGUUCUAGGAUAUUGAGUCAUUUGCAUAUCUUACCCAAAACUUGAGUUGUAAUGUAUCAAAGUGCCUUGAGUUGUUUAUGGACAUUUUUUGUGAAGACAUGGCAGACAAAAAAUUGAGAUCAUGAUGGUGGAAUAUUUGCAUUCUUUGUCGCACAAUUAUGUAUCAGGUAAAUGGCCUUCAGUAAAAACCUUAGUUGACCUUCGAUCUUGGUUCGGCUCUUAAACUAUUUUGGUCCUAAACUUUAAGUUUUAGAUUUCGAUUAUUUUUGAAAGCUUGGAAGUUAUGUGUUGUUUGAUCCACAGAGCUUUGAUUGAAUGAUCAACCGAUUGAAUUGGUUUCAGAUGAUAUUUAGGUUAAAGUCAGAAUUCGUCGAUUGCAUGGUGGAUAGGGUGAUUUCCUUGUAGACUUCUUGUAGUCUUCAAUCAUUUGAACUUGUUGGACCUACGUAUCUGGUGCCUGUAUAACAGUAGUGGCGUGUUUUUAUGUAGGAUCUCAAUGAAGGCCAGUAGUGUUCAGGAAAUGUCAUAGUGCAGUCGGGACCUUGUGGUAGGCAGAAUUCGAUUCAUCUUGGUUUGUGCUUAUUUACGCUUUGAAAGUUUUUUAAGUGCAUAUUUUGAAUUAUUUCACCAUCUUCCCAAUUUUUACCACUCUGUUUAUUAUUAUUCCUUCGUCUAUAUUUCUCUUUUCCACCAUUUGUUUUGAAAAUUCAUAGAUCUUUUUUACUUGGAAUAUUAAGUGGGGAUUACUAUUCCUGUACAAUUCAUUAUAAAUGGAUUAUUCUAUUUGUGCAGAUAUAGUGGACGAGCUUAUUAAAUCCUUGUUUGUCUAUUAGUUCACAGUUCUCGUCUUCAGCGUGUGGCAGAGCAGUUUAGUAGCUCGCAAGGCUCCUAACCUUGACAUCAUGGGUUCAAAUCCUGUAUCUGCAACAUUUUAAUUUAUUCUUGGUAUUUUUUUUUUUUAGCACAUGUGAUUUAAGUGUCUUUUGUUGGUUGUUCUCUACUUUCUUGCUUGUUUGCAGUCACUUGUGGUGGGCAGCAUUCGAUUCGUCUUGGUUUGUGCUUAUAUUUGGUAUUAUUUCACCAUCAUCCCAAUUUUUAUCGCUGUGUUUAUUCUUCCUUCAUCUAUACUUGUCUUUUCCACCAUUUGUUCUGAAAAUUCAUGGAUCUUUCUUACUUGGAAUAUUAGGAGAGGAUUACUAUUCCUUUACAUUUCAUUAUAAUUGGGUUAUUUUAUUUGUACCGAUAUAGUGGAGGGGCAUAUUAAUUCGUUAUUUGUGUAUUUGUUCUCAGUUCCUGUCUUCAGCAUGGGUUGGUAGAUCGCAAGGCUCCUGACCUUGACGUAAUGGGUUCAAAUUCCGUCUCCGCAGCAUUAUUUUUAUUCUUGGAUAUAUUUUUUUUAACAUGUGAAUAAGUUUGUUUUGCUGGUUGCUCGUUACUUUUUUUGCUUGUUUGCAGUCACUUGAAGAUGGACUCGGUGAAAGUUAAAGAGCCUAGUGCGUGGCUGGACUUUUUUCUUGUUGUUGGACUGUAAUCCUGUAAUUAGUUGAAAACAGGAGAGAGUAUCUAAUUCUCUCUGUUUUCAUUUUUCGUUCUUGAACUUUGGUUGACGUCUCUCUUUGGUGUUUUCCAACACUUGUUAUUUUGCUUGUUUAUAGUUUAUUUUGAGAGCGGUCAUUUGGAAGAGGUUAGGGAACCUUUACCUGGUUAGACUGCAGUAAAUGAUCGAUGUUUCUGUGAGUUUGUACCCAAAACCCGAGUUGUAAUGUAUCUUAGUGCCUUGAGUUGUUUAUGGACAUUUUUUUGAAGCCAUGUAGGCAAAAAAUUGAGAAGAUCAUGGUGGAAUAUUUAAAUCCUCAAUCGCAUGAUUAGGUAUCAGGUAAAUGGACUUUAGUAAAUAUCUUAGUUUGAACUUUGAUCUCGUUUAGUAAAUACCUUAGUUUUACGUUUUGAGAGUUGUGUAACAGUAUAUUUGUUAUUAUUUCACUGAAUACGUAGGUCGAUAGAUUGAAUGCCUGUGAGACUUCCAGUAUGCUUCGAUCAAUCGUACUUGUCAGACCUACGUAUUUGGUGCCUUAAUGAUAGUAUUUGGUUGUUUUAUGUAGGAUCUCAGUGGGACCUUGUUGUUGGCAGCAUUCGAUUCGUCUUGGUUUGUGCUUAUUUAUGUUUUGAAAGUUGUGUAACAGUAUAUUUGUUAUUGUUUUACCAUCUUCCCAAUUUUUACCACUAUUGUUUAUUCUUCCUUCAUCUAUAUUUCUAUUUUCCACCAUUUGUUCUGAAAAUUCAUGGAUCUUUCUUAUUUGGAAUUUUAGGUGAGGAUUACUAUUCCUUUAUAAUUUAUUAUAAGUUGGUUAUUCUAUUUUUACCACUAUUGGUAGUUCGCAUGUCUCCUAACCCUGACGUCAUGGUUUCAAAUCCCGUCUCCGUCGCAUUAUUUUUAUUCUUGGGUUUUUAUUUUUAUUUUUUUUUAACAUGUGUGAAUAAGUUUUUUUUGCUGGUUGCUCGUUACUUUUUUGCUUUUUUGUUUGUUUGCAGUUGCUUGAAGAUGGAUUUGGCGAAAGCUAAAGUGCCUUUUGUGUGGCUGGACUUUUUACUUGUUAUUGGUCUAUACAUCUUGUGAUUAGUAGAAAAUGGAAGAGAGCAUCUGAUUCUCUGUUUUAUUUUUUUGUUCUUGGAUUUUGCUUGACCUCUCUCUGGUUUUUCGCUUGUUUGAUUUUGAGAGCGGUCUUUUUGAAAGGCUAAGAGAACCUUUACGUGGCUAGACUGCAGGAAAUGAUCGAUGUUAUGUGUUAAAGUCGUUGAGUUGUUUAUGGACAUUUUUUUGAAGACAUGGCAGACAAAAUAUUGAGAAGAUCAAGGUGGAAUAUUUGCAUCCUCAAUCGGACAAUUUGGUACAAGUAAAUGGGCUUUACUAAAUAUACCUACCUUAGUUUGACCUUUGAUCUUGUUUUGGCUCCUAAACUGUUAUUGAUUCUAAACUUUUAAGUUUUAUAUUUUUUUUCGGAAAGCUUGUAAUUUUUUAAUCGUUGAUCGAUCCAGAGAGCUUUGAUCGAAUGAUUAACUGAUUGAAUUGGUUUUAGGUAAUAUGUAGUUCAAAGUCAGAAUGCAUCGAUUGCAUGGUGGAUAGGUUGAAUUCCUUUUUGACUUCUUGUUAGAUCUAUGUAUCGGUGCCGGUAUAAUUGUAGUGGCGUGUUCUUAUGUAGGAUCUCAAUGAAGGCCUGUAGUGUUUGGAAACGUCAUAGUGCAGUUGGGACCUUGUGGUAGGCAGCAUUCGAUUCGUCUUGGUUUGUGCUUAUUUAUGUUUUGAAAGUUGUGUAACAGUAUAUUUGGUGAAAUAUCUACCCAAUUUUUACUGCUCUGUUUAUUCGUCCUUAAUUUAUAUUUCUUUUUUCCACCAUUUGUUCUGAAAAUUCAUUGAUCUUUCUUACUUGAAAUAUAAGAUGAGGAUUGCUACUCGUUUACAAUUUAUUUUAAAUGGGUUAUUCUAUUUGUGCAGAUAUAAUGGUGGAGCAUAUUAAAUCCUUGUUUGUCUUAUCUACUCAGUUCUUGUCUUCAGCCUGUGGCAGAGAAGUUUGGUAGCUCGCAAGUUUCCUAACCUUGACGUCAUGGGUUCAAAUCCCUUCUCCGCAGCAUUAUUUUAUUCUUGGGUUUUUUUUUUGCUGGUUGCUCGUUACUUUUUUGCUAAGGUGGACUUGGUGAAAGUUAAAGAGCCUUUUGUGUGGCUGGACUUCUUGUUAAUUCUCUGUUUUUGUGUUUUCUCCUUCUUGGAUUCUGUUUGACCUUUCUCUUUGGUGUUUACAAACUCUUGUUAUUUUGCUUGUUUGUAGUUGAUUUUGCGAACGGACUCUUGGAAAAAAGCUAAGAGAACCUUUACCUGGUUAGACUGCAGGGAAUAUUCUUCGUUGUAAGAAUUAGGAUAUCGAGUCAUUGGCAUAUCUUAUUACCCAAAACCUGAGUUGAUAUAUCAAAGUUCCUUGAGUUUUUUAUUGUCAUUUUUUUGAAGACAUGGCAGACAAAAAAUUGAGAAGAUCAUGGUGGAAUAGUUGUAUCAUCAAUCGCAGAAUUAGGUACAGGUAAAUGGACUUUAGUAAAUACCUUAGUUUGACCUUUGAUCUUGGUUUGGCUCCUAAACUGUUUCGAUUCUAAACUUUAAGUUUUAGAUUUUUUCGAAAGCUUGGAAGUUAUGAGCUGAUCGAUCCAGAGAUUUUAUUCGAUCAAUUGAUUGAAUUGGUUUCAGGUAAAUAUUUAGUUCAAAGUGAGAAUGCAUCGAUUGCAUGGUGGAUAGGUUGAAUUCCUUCUAGACUUUUUAUUGUCUUUGAUCAAUCGAACUUGUUGGACCUAUGCAUUCGGUGCCUGUAUUAUAGUAGUGGCGUGUUUUUAUGUAGGAUCCCAAUGAAGGGUGUUUGGGAAAUGUCAUAGUGCAGUCGGGACCUUGUGGGAGGCAGCAUUUGAUUUGUGUUGGUUCGUGUUUAUUCAUGUUUUGAAAGUUUUUUCAGAGUAUAUUUGAUUUUAUUUCACCAUCUUCCCAAUUUUUAUCGCUGUGUUUAUUCUUCCUUCAUAUAUAUUUCUCCUUUCCACCAUUUGUUCUUAAAAUUCAAGGAUCUUUCUUACUUGGAAUAUUAGGUGAGGAUUACUUUUCCUUUUAGAAUUCAUUAUAAAUGGCUUAGUCUAUUCGUGCAGAUACAGUGGAGGAGCACAGUAAAUUUUGUUUGUCUAUUUUUUCUCAGUUCUUGUCUUCAGCGUGGGGUAGACUUAGUUUGGUAGCUCGCAAGGCUCCUAACUUUGAUGGCAUGGGUUCAAAUCCCGUCUCUGCAGCAUUACUUUUAUUCUUGGUUUUUUUUUUUAGCACGUGUGAAUAAGUUUGUAUUGCUGGUUGCUCGUUACUUUUUUGCUUGUUUGCAGUCACUUGAAGAUGGACUUCGUGAAGUUGAAGAGCCUUUUGCAUGGCUGGCGUUCUUACUUGUUAUUGGACUGUACAUUCAUUGAUUAGUUGAAAACAGAAGAUAGUAUCUAAUUCUUUGUUUAUGUUUUUUGUUCUUGGAUUUUGCUUGACCUCUCUCUUUGUUAUUUUGCUUGUUUAUAGUUGUUGGAUUUUUCUGGAAAUGAUUGAUUUUUCUUUUAGUUUGUAUUAGGAUGUUGAGUCAUUGGCGUAUCUUUACCCAAAACCUGAGUUGUAAUGUGUCAAAGUGCCUUGAGUUGUAUAUGUACAUUUUUUUGAAGCAUGGCAGAGAAAAAAAUUGAGAUCAUAUUUAUUUGCUUCCCCAAUCACACAAUUAUGUAUCAGGUAAAUGGACUUAAGUAAAUUCCUUUGUUUGACCUUUGAUCUUGGUUUGGCUCCUAGACUAUUUUGAUUAUGAACUUUUUAAAUUUUUUUCAAAAGAUUGGAAUUUAUGUGUUGAACAAUCCAGAGAAGCUUUGAUCAAAUGACCAACCCACUCAAUUGGUUUUAGGUAAUAUUUUUCAAAGUCGGAAUGUAUCAAGUGCAUGGUGGAUAGUUUGAAUUCCUUUUAGACUAAAAGUAAUCUUCGAUCAAUUGAACUUGUCGGACCUACGUAUUCGGUGCCUAUAGAAUAGUAUUGGCGUGUUUUUAUGUAGGAUCUCAAUGAAGGCCAGUAGUGUUCGGUAAAUGUCAUAGUGCAGUCUGGAUCUUGUGUUAGGCAGCAUUUCAAUUUGUCUUGGUUUGUUCUAAUUUGCAUUUUGAAAGUUGUGUAACAGAGUAUAUUUGGUAAUUAUUUCACUACCUGUUCUUAAUAUUCAUGUAUCUUUCUUACUUGAAAUAUUAGGUGAGGAUUAGAAUUCCUUUGCAAUUCACUAUAAAUGGGUUAUUCUAUAUGUAUGCACAGAUAUAGUGGAGGGGUGCAUUAAAUCCUUGUUUGUCUAUUAGUUCUCAGUUUUGGGUUCAAAUCCAGUCUCCGCAGCAUUUUUUUUUUAAUCCCAGGAUGUGUGAAUGAGUUUCUUUUGCUGGUUGCUUGUUACUUUUUUACUUUUUUUUGCUUUUUGCAUUUUGCAGUCACUUGAAGAUGUACUUAGCAAAAGUUAAAGAAACUUUUUUGUGGCUGGGCUUUUUACUUGUUAUUGGACUGUACAUCCUGUGAUUAGUUGAAAACAGAAGAGUAUCUAAUUAUCUGUAUUUGUUUUUUGUUCUAUCUUCUUGGAUUUUGCUUGACCUCUAUUUUUGUUGAUUGCAGACGCUUGUUAUUUUUCUUGUUUGUAGUGGAUUUUGAGAAUGGUCUUUUGGAAGAGCUAAGAGAACCUUUACCUGGUUAGACUGCAGAAAAUGAUCAAUCUUAUAUUAAGUUUGUGUUAGGAUAUUAAGUCAUUGGCAUAUCCUAGUUUAUGGGCAUUUUUUUGAAGUGAUGGCAGACAGAGAAACUAAGAAGAUCAUGGUGGAUAUUUGCCGAUUUUUUUUCGAAAGCUUGGAAUUUAUGCUUUGAUCCAUUCAGAGAGCUUUGAUUGAAUGAUCGACCGAUGAAUUGGUUUCAGUGAACGUAUGGGAGGAUAUAUUGCAAUUCACUGAUUGAGCACCCGCAGUUGGAACAUCAAACAGUUAUUUGUCUAUGAUGUCUAUCGUGCGGACCCCAAUACAAGUGUUCUCGUUUAUAUGUGCAUUCUGUUUAUUUGUUUAUGUUAGUUUUUAUGUGUGAUAUAUUUAUUUGUGUUUUUUUUAUAUGGAUUUUGGAGAGUACGGGGAGAUCAUUCUAUCUUGCUUCCGCCUUCUUUUCCAUUGGCUAAUGUGUAAUGCAAUUAGCAGCAACUCUAUGUUGCUGAGAUUGUAUUUAGAAUUAAAAGAAAAGUGUAAAUAAAUACUAGUUUUAUUUGUUGCCCUCUUUUUGUUUGUUUGCCAUGUUGAUAUUUUUGUCCUGCAUGUUGGGUUAUGUUGUAGGGAUCAUACGAAAUUUCUUGACAGUUGAAUAAUGCUAGAUUCCAUCUAGUGAUGCAUCAGUUCGGGCUGUUAACUUUGCUUCUUUUAUGUGUACACACUAAUAAUCUAUUGGGAAAGUAUUGCUGGUAUCGUUUUUGGGUGAAUUGCUUGUUGGAUGAGACGAUUGGUGAUUAUUGUUCCAGAAGAUAGCGUUUCCCAUUUGUAUUAUAGAAGAUGUGUUGAUAAGUAGUUAAGAGUUGACCAAAGAACCAUUGCUAUUUAUAGCAUUAUAUCCCAUCAUCUAGUUAUGUCUCCUAUUUCUCUUUAUCUUUGUCAUUCCGGUGUUAGUGUUGGCUUUCAAUUUGCAUUUGUCUAUGGAUGCCAUCUUUUACCUGAAAUUUGUCUUUUCUUGUUACCUUACCUCUUGAAGUGGUGUAGAGACGACUCCUCUCUCAGUUAAAGUGAAUGACACUCUGUUUUAGGGUUAGAGAGGAGGAGGAGAAUCUGAUGGAUGUCAGGGUUCUAUUUUAUAUAUUUAUACUAGUAUUAAGUAAGCAAAAUUACAGUAAUGCCCUUAACAAACAAAAAUGAAUUCUAACUCUUGUAACACUCCUUGUGUAAAUGAAAUUAUUGGUACUUAGUGUUUGCAGAGUCUUCUGCUAUCCCCUCGUUCCUUUUGGUGGUUGUGUUAAAUUGAAAACUCACCUUUGUCUAAAUGAGGUUAUUGGAACCAUUUUUAAUGACUCUCUCUUCACCAUUGAGUCGAAAGAUGAAAUGAGAAUAUUGUUUCGUUGCCUUCAUGUGAGGCUGCUGAUUGUAGUUGCCUUUCCUUGUUUGCAGGCUGCUAGUUCUCUUAUAUUCUUUUCAUGCAGGGUUUUUGUUGACUCUUUACUCUUUGUCGUUUCAUCCAUUACAAGGAAAUUGACAUAUUAAAGGCAGGUUCAGUUGCAUGCCAGCGGUUAAACUUUAUACCCUCACACUUUCGCAUGGUUUAUAAUAGAUAUUUUUAGAUUGCAUUUUUUCCUUUUACUUGCCAAUAUAGAUGCGAUGAGCGGAUCAUUGGUGAAAUUGAUGGUUCUUAAAAUGUGUGAGAACACUUCUCUAACUAUGAUUCCAUCUUCUCAUCGUAGGAAUGCUGCUUGAUCCUCACUUACUAUGAUUGAGGUUCUUAUAACAUAUGGAUAUGUACACACUUACACUCUUGUGGAAUGUGCGUCAGCAGCCUGUUUAGAGAGUUCUCUGCUUUCUCGUUGCAACAUGUUGAAGCUAUAUUUAGCAGCAUGUGCUUGGGGACUUGAUUGCAGUUAUUUAACCUGUUCCAGUAAAUUCCGCUUCUGUAUCCUGAUGCCUGGAUGGCUUCUUGUUUCUUAGGGACCUCAUGGUAUAUUUCAAGAUCUAAGUGAUUGACUGUAUAUGGUGCUGUUAUGACACACACGUGAGUGUGUCCUGCUGUCAAGAGUGAGGUUAGAUUAUUAUUGUGGAAUUAGAAAUUUGAAUUUGUUGUAUCUAUCUAAUAACAAUUUGUAGGAACGGUAGUGUUGUGGUAUUUUCUUUGUGAAGGGGUCUGCUGCUUGAUUCCCCAUCUCCGUUUUCUCCUCCCUUAGUGUUAUAGAAAACGUCCAUUCCAUUGUUUUUUUGGUAAUACGUCAUUCCUUUUCCUAGAUAGCACUGAGAUUUACUUUUUAUCCUCGAGUGUUAAUAUUAGUUCUUUUGUGGUUUAAUUUCUAUAACCUUAUAUUUUAUUCUGGUUUUGUGUGUUCUGUUGUUCUCUUCUCCGAAAUAACUACUACUUUUUUUCUUUUUUCUCUCAUUUCUGUUUUCAUUACAGUGGAGAGUUAAAUCUUCGAGUUGUUGAGCUUUACAACUUCAAUGUUUUAUGUGGAAGAUACGGAUGACAUGUUGCAAGAAUUGAAUCGUGUUGCAAGUUCUUUUUGUUCAUAUUACUUCUAGAAAUUUGGAGUUGAAGAAAAUGUGUUUUGAGUUAUUUUUUUGACUGACUAUUGAGAAUUUUGGUACGCUUAGUAGGGUGGAAUUUUAAUUUUGAUACUUCAGGUUGAGGGUCAUCAUUACUUUUAGGAGCAUAGUUCGUAGGUUUAACCUAUAGUAUGCUGCUGGUGAUCCUUUCAAUUAAUGUCGGGUCAUUCUUCUCCUAUGUAACUGAAAACUUCAUCCUCUCUGCUUUUGAUUGAUCUCUGCCUGAUACAUUGUAUUCCUAAUACAAACAUCCCUAUGCUAAAACACAUCAGUCUGGGUAGUGAUGUGAAGUUUCAUCAACCGUCUUAUUGAUGGAGAACCGGAACCGGGCCUGGCCCGAGAGCUUGAAGACCACAUGGCCCACACCUACUAUUGGGAGACAUGGGAAAGAAAGAUAGAACUAGGGAUUUUAGUUUAUUUAUUAUUAUUAUGGAAUAUUUUAGCGAUUUAGGGUUUUAUUUAUGAUAAUAGGUUGAUUAGGGUUUUUUAUUUGAUGUUUAUUUAUAUAUUGGUUCAGACAUUGUGAAAGUUAGUUUUUGAUAUUGAUUAUUGAUUAUUGAUUAUUAUUCAGAAAUUAUUGUGGUUUCUUCCUCAAUUCUGAUUUCUCCCUCUGUUAUUCUUCUUUUCUCCAUCAUUUUGAUUUCUUCCCCUAUUAUUCUAAUUCUAUCUCUCUCACAGUCUCUAUCUUAUCCUCUUUCUUAUUUGAAUUCUGUUAUCGAAUCGUUCUUACCCGUUGCUGCAUCAAUUGGUAUCAGAGCAGAAGAUUCAUGUUGUUGACUCUACUGUUCACAAGUCUGUUCAUCCUCAUUUCUCAUCCACCCAAAACGUACAAUCAGAACCUAGUCAACACCCUAGCUGCCACUACUGCUGCCAUCCAUCAAAUCUUGCAAAACUUUAGCCCAGACCAAAAACAAACCAACCCACCUCCACCAAAACAGCAGUAAGCCAUCUAACCCACCAAACAGAACAACAAACCCAAACACAAUUACAGUACCCAAACCCACAACCAAUCUACAGAACUCAAACCAACAGCUUCCUUGCCGUGUCGCAGUUGUCAAAGAGCUUUUUGUUAGUUCUUGUCGUCGUCAACCUUCAUCGCCGCUGCAAAUCCUCAAAUUGGAAUCUGAUACAAACAUCAUUGCCGGAAGCCGUAGUCAGAAUCGCAUCGCGUUGCCCUCGCCAUCGUUAGUUUCAUGACCAUCGUCGGAGUCGAUUCUGCUGUUCGUUGUUGUCAUUGCUGGAAGGUCACUGAUUCAAGCCUAAAGUUUUGGUCUUCUAUCCAUUUGGAAAGAAAGCGCAGGGUAUACAUAUCAGAGGAUCAGAUCAGAUCAGAUUAGUUGUUUGGCCCAGUCUAGUAUUACUUCAGCCCAAGUGCCAACCAGAAUUACACCAGCCCUGUUUGGUUUCGGGUAUAGAGCUAUUCAAGUUUUGAACAAGUUCUGAAAUCAGUUCAAAAUUGAACCAGUUCAACAAUUCCAGUAGUUUUUGAACCAGUUCAAAAAAAAAUAAAAAUAAAAAAACGAAUAAAAUGAGAUUGACUUUUUUAGUAGCAUUCAAUAUUUGGGUUGAUCACAAAGGACUUCAGAAAGUUGUUUUAGUACUUUUAUCCAUUUGAUUAGUUUAGAAAUUGCAAAUGGUCCUAAUUGAACCCUUGAACCAAAUAAAUAUAUAUCUUUUUUAUUGUUUCCACCUUUAAUUUUACACCUAAGUACCGACACCAGUGCAUUACUUCUAGCAUAAUUAAUUUCAUUUGCGUUCAGAUUUCUUAGUUGUGCAUUGUUCGAGUUUAUAAUUUAGUGUACUUGAUUCAAUUUGAGGUCUAUGUUGGCAUUAUCCUCAACCAUUCUUAUGUCCUACCAUUUCACCAUGACUAUCAACAACCUUCUUUAAACUUUAUCCACUGACCUAGUUGAUACAUCUUCUUAACGAUGUCAGAGGAGAAUAUCGUUUUAUGUCCCCAAUGGCUUUGUUCGUUUUAUGUCCCCAAUGGCUUUGUUAUAAGCCAAGCAAGGUUAAGAUUGUUGAGUACAAACCAAGGUUCCCAUUAGAAAUAGAAUUAACUGGUGUGAAAAUGAAAGGAAAACAAAAACAACAUUGAAAAUAAAUUUGGAACAACUACUUUUGAAAAUUGGAAAUAGGCUUUUUCAAAUUCCAUCCUCAAUCAGUGAACUCCUUUGUUUGCUUAACAAAACUAAUCACUUGCUUUGCAAAGUACGCUAGGACUCAUGUGCUUCAAUGCAAGUUGCACUCUCUCUCCAAUAAUGAAGGCUUUCUCUAGAACGCUCAAGAAAUGAUUCUGCUUAAUGGCUAUCGAUAUCCUGUACAUCCGCAUGUAGCUGUGUUCACCAGGUUUGACCACGUACUAUCAGUAAUCUUAGUGAAUCUUUGAGUUUGAUCCUGGCUCAGAAAUAUUUUUAUAUUUUUUUUCAUAUCUUUUAGAGUAACAUUUUAUAUUUUGUUAUUUUGUUAAAUAUUUAUUAUAAUAGUAGAUUAAUAUCUGUAUAUAUAUCUCCUGAAGAGUAUGAUUUAACAUUGGGGUAUUUUUUUAAUUGCUAAAGAAUUUUAAAGGAUUAUAGAUUGUGAUGUUAGAGUUGCAGUAGCUUCAUGCCUUAGUGAGUUACAAUGAUUGUAUCAUCUUUUGAAAGUCAGUAUGAUAGAUCAGUCCAUCUUAUGAUAAAAGGGUCAGAACCCUCAACACAUUUGCAAGUGUAAGUCAUGAUUAAUAAUGUUAGAUUUGGAAUGUGAAGAGUUGAUUGUCCAGAUGCUUCAGUAGUUUUUAACAUAAAUAAGAUAUUAUCAUCCGGACAAUAUCUUUUAACAUGUAAGAGCAAAUUAUGACCCUUGUACAUGCGACUAUAUCUUCGUAGAGCAACUUCGUCCUCUUCAAACUAGUGUUAGGAAAAGGAAAUCAGACUAUUUCACCUCAAUCUUAUUAUAAGUUAGGAGAAAAAGUCUUGAAAAACUACUCCCCUCUUCCAAAGGCUCUACAUUCUUUGGGCCUUUUGUCCAUUGAUUUUAUGGAAGUAAUCGUUUCUAUUUGUCAAGAUGUGUCUGAAUUGCCACAUGAAUGUUGUGCAAAACACAAUUACCUUAGCCCCAGGAUCAUAUUCAAUUGUCACACAAAAUCUCACACAUCCUUGUGAAUAUGUUAAACUGAGUCAACCAAAUGAUUAGUUUGCACAAAAAGAAUUCACUCAAGAUCGUUUUGAAAGAAUUUUAAAAUAUCAUAAGUCAUCUAAUUCCAUUGUGUUGAAUAAAGAUAUCAAGUACCGCAAUAAUUUCUAGAAGACACUUUGUACAUUUUUAGGAACAAAUUUGAAGUUUUUUUUUGCAUCUUGUCCGAUGACAGAUAGGAAAAUUGAGGUUGUGAACCAAGGACUAAGAAAGUUGGUUAGUUUUAAUGUUAGUAUGCACCUAGAUACUUAGAACUUGUUUUUACCCAUCAUGGAGUUUGUUGUACUAGUUUGACUAAUGAAAGUACUGCCAUAUGUUCUUUUGAGGUUAUUUAUAGUGCCAAGCCAGUCAAUUUAUUAUUUUCAUCCACCUCCAUGUAUGCAUUCACUUGAAUUUGUUGAUUCCUUCGUGCAGCUUGUUCAUGGUUUUAAAAAAGAAGUUUUGGGUUUUGGCUUACUCAAACUGAGAGCCAAGAUCUAUAUUUAUAUACAAGAAUCGGGUACAAAGAAAGGAAAUCAAUUCAAAGAAAGACAUAAAAUAUGCCAAAAUCUAUGGGAUCCCAUGAUUAUGAGGAUCUUAUCUACGGGAUCUUAUAAUUACAAGGAUCUUAUCUACGUGAUCCUAUGAUUAUAGGGAUCUUACAUAAAAUAUCUAAUAAAAGGUUAAAAACAGCUAAUAAAAAUAAAAAUAAAAAUGAUAAAGAUAUUUCAACACUCCCCCUUAAGCUGGAGUGAAGAUAUCAUUCAAGCCCAGCUUGGUAAUCGAGGAAUGAAGCAAAGAUGGACCAACAAAUUUGGUGAACACAUCGGCCGACUGAUUAGAGGAACGAACAAAGCACGGCUUGAUAAUUCCCGAACGAACCUUCUCUCUGAUAAAAUGAAUGUCCACCUCUAUAUGUUUAGUCCUCUCGUGAAGAACAGAAUCUGAAGCAAGCAUGAUGGUUGACUUAUUAUCACAAAACAAGUCUGAGGACUGUUUUUCUCCUAGCCCUAGCUCCUCCAAGAAAGAUCAAAGCCAGAGAAUCUCACAAGUACCUAGAGUCAUGGCACGAUACUCAGUCUCUACUGAAGAUCUCGAAACUACAGGUUGUUUCUUACUUUUCCAGGAUAUAAGAUGGUCUUCAUAGAAAGUACAGAAGCCAGAUGUGGAACGUCUGUCAGUCUUGGACCCAGCAUAGUCUGCAUCACUUAAACAAGGUAGCCCAACUUGCUUGCUAGAAGAAUAGAAUAAUCUAAGUCCAGGACAGGACUUAAGAUAUCUAAUAAUAUGAUAUACUGCAUCCAUAUGAGCUGUAUGAGGAGCAUGCAUAAACUUGCUCACAACACUAACUGCAAAAGCCAAAUCAGGACGGGUGUUGGUAAGAUAAAUCAAUCUUCUUACCAAGCGCUGAUACUGCGAGGGAUCAGAAAGGAGAUCUUCGGAUUCAAUCGAGAUCUUUAGAUUAGGAUCCAUAGGAGUAUAAGCAGGUUUACACCAAAGCAUACCCGUGUCUCGAAGAAGAUCCAAGACAUACUUCCUUUGCGAUAAGGAGAUACCCUGCUUAGAUCUAGAAACCUCAGCUCCAAAGAAAUAUCUGAGCUGCCCAAGGUCUUUCACAGCAAAAGCUUUAGCCAAUUGAAGCUUUACUUGAGCAAUCCCAGGGAUGUCAUUGCCAGUAAUGAUGAUAUCAUCAACAUAGACAAGCAAAAUGAUACAUCGACCAUUGGAGGAAUGGCAGAUAAAACAUGUAUGGUCAAAAUGACAUCUAACAAACUUUAUGGAUAGAAUUACAUCACUAAAGCGGCUGAACCAAGCUCUGGGAGAUUGUUUUAAUCCAUACAAAGACUUCCGCAAUCGACAGACCUUUCCGGCAUACUCCCCCUCAACCCAAAAAUUGAGUGGAGGAUCCAUGUAAAUCGUCUCAAGAAGAUCACCGUUAAGGAAAGCAUUCUUCACAUCAAGCUGAUGAAGAGGCCAAUUGUGAGAGGCGGAGACUAAGCAAACGAACUGAGGUCAAUUUAGCUACAAGAGCGAAGGUAUCAUUAAAGUCUUUACCAGGAAUCUGAGUAAAUCCUUUGGCCACCAAGCGGGCUUUAUACCGAUCAAUAGAACCAUCAACCAGAUAUUUAACACUGAAUACCCAUUUGCAACUAACAGUUUUUUCACUAGGAGGGAGAGAUACAAGCUCACAUGUUUCAUUAUGUUGCAAAGCAUCCAUUUCUACCUUCAUAGCAGACAUCCAAUUAGGAUUCCAGAGAGCCUCAGACAACGUUCUAGGAAUGGAAAUGGAAUCAAGUUUGCUUAGAAAGGCUCGGUAAGACCCUGAAAGACAAUCAUAAGAGAUAUAUUGCGAAAUAAGAUAAUCAGUACUACAAGCGAAUCCAAAUCUAGCAGGGGGUUUGCGGUCUUGAGUUGGAUGCUGAGACUCAGGAGCAGGAACAGGGUCUGGGCAAUGUAAAGAAGCGAGAGAUGUACCUGAGUCUGAGGAGGAUGAAGGCAGUUGAGGCGGAGCACGAAGACGGCGUGAAUAGACAUGCAAAGGGGGUGAGGAAACAAUAAGAGAAGGCUCUUCUUGGAAAAUAGGAAGAGGACGAGCAAGAUGAGAAGCCUCUUUGAUCGAGAGUAGAAGCUUCUUGCAAGAUAGUGUUAGAACCAUAAAAAGGGGAAUGCUCAUGAAAGGUGACAUCAAGAGAGUGAUGUGUGUUUGUGUACUGGAUCAUAACACCGGUAACCUUUUGACAUGGAAGAGGACCCUAAAAAGAUAAAUUUAAUGGCCUUGUCGUCUAUUUUAGUAUAAGAAGGGCUACGAUUUUGAACAAAACAUAUACAUCCAAACACCUGAGGCAUGAUGGAAAAAAGAGUAAUAUCAGGCUGAAGCACUUGUAAGGGGGCCUUUCCAUUUAAGACUCUACUAAGGGUACGAUUAAUGAGAAAAGUAGCUGUAAGAAUCGUCAUGUGCCAAAAUAACUUUGACACAUUUAUACCACUUAAAAGACAUCGAACAACUGACAUUAGUUGGCGGUUUUUACGCUCUGCAACACCAUUCUGUUCAGGGGUAUAUGGGCAAGUAAGCUGAUGAAGAAUACCCUGUUGGUUAAGUUGAGACUGAAACUUAUUGGAAACAUAUUCACGACCAUUGUCAGACCUAAUAUUCCUAACAAUAGUUUUAUAUUGAGUUUUGAUCAUUUGGAGGAAUUUAGUGAACAAGGGAAAAACUUCAAAUUUCUUUUUAAGUAAAUAUACCCAUGUGCAGCGGGAAUAAUCAUCAAUGAAUGUGACAUAAUAACGAUUCCCCGAAAAAGUAGUAACAGGAGAAGGACCCCACACAUCAGAAUGUAUGAGAUCAAACAUACUAGGUGCACGAUGCAUAUGAGAAAUAUAACUGGUUCUAGUAUGUUUAGAAAGCUCACAAAUCUCACAUUGAAACUUAUUAUCCUUACAAGCCGUUUUUAAUGAAGGGAAAAGUAAACAUAAAUACUGAAAGUUUACAUGCCCAAGGCGAGCAUGCUAUAAACUUAAAGUCUAAAAAGAAAAAUCAUAAGACCUCGAAAAUGGAAGAACAGAGGGUUGAAGGCUUGGGGCAAGUGGAGGGGUGUCAUUGGAGGAUCCCCAAAGUAGUGGAUGCCAUCGUGCUCAUAUACCCUGCCAAAAAUCCUCUUCGAACACAGGUCCUUUAAAACACAGUAAUGAGGAAAGAAAAUCACUGCACAAUUUAGUGAUUUGGCAAGCUUGCUAACCGAUAGAAGAUUAAAUGCAAAGUCAGAAACAUAAAUAACAAAUGGCAAAAUAAUAUCAGGGGAUAGAUGAACAUUUCCUGUGCUACGAAUAAUGGUGGUUAACCUAUCGGCUAGACUAACAACCUGAUUAACAGGGGUAACGGGAGUAGAAAAUAAUGACAACUCACCAGUCAUGUGAUCAUUGGCUUCGAAAUCCAGAACCCAAGUAGGUUUUCCCGCUUUAACAUGAUAAGCAGCAGGAGUACGUGUAGCUAUAGUAGUCGUGAGAGUAGAAGAGCCAGCCCUGGUAGAUAAGGCUCCGAACUGCUCCUGAAGCUGAUCAAUUUGGGGCUGUAACUGUUUGAAGUUCUGAAAAGAUGAUCUGGGAGGAGUUGAAGCAAGAGGGACAACAAUCUGUAGAGUAGUAUACCCACCAAUAGUAUCGGCUAUUGCGGCAGUGUGGUCACGGCCCGAAGAUAAAAGUGUCAUUUUGGCUACUAGAAUCAUUCAUAGUACCAAACUAAGGCUGGUCCACAAGUCGAAGGAGGAGGAAAGAGAAAAAGUAAGGUCGGAAAAAUCGGGGCUUUCCACCAAAUAUGCUGCUGAACAAACACCGGCAGCCCAAAAAAAAUAAAUAAAUAAAAAUAAAAAAAUAAAACACUAGAAGGACCCUUAGAUCAUUAAAAAAAACCUAAGGGAAUUCUCCUAUAAAAGGAGUCAAAAAUAGAGGGUUACCCGAGGGGUCCGGUGCAAGGGCUGGGAAGAUAUGGAGGUGCGCCGGAGGUGAGGGAAAAUGGAGAGAGGGAGAGAGAAGGUGGCGGCGUUGGGGAGGAAGAUGGGGAGAUGAAGGUUUUUGUUUUUGCUCUGAUACCAUAAAGAAGAAGUUUUGGGUUUUGGCUUACUCAAACUGAAAGCCAAGAUCUAUAUUUAUAUACAUGAAUAGGGAACAAAGAAAGGAAACCAAAUCAAAGAAAGACAUAAAAUAUGCCAAAAUCUACGGGAUCCCAUGAUUAUGGGGAUCUUAUCCACGGGAUCCUAUAAUUAUAGGGAUCUUAUCUACAUGAUCCCAUGAUUAUAGGGAUCUUACAUAAAACAUCUAAUAAAAAUAAAAAUAAAAAUAAUAAAGAUAUUUCAACAGUUUUUAUGCCGCUAUGCGACAAAAAAUUAAUACAAGUAAAAAGAAUUAUAAACUUGCUACAUAUGCUCAUAAUAGGAAUCAUGAAUUUAAUGAAGGAGAUUAUGCUAUAAUUUGUGCGCUACCUCAACCUUAUCAUAAAAACUCCUUCCAGAUGAAACAUAGAAAUGGAGACAUGGGAAAGAAAGAUAGAAUUAGGGAUUUUUGUUUAUUUAUUAUUAUUAUGGGAUAUUCAGCAAUUUACGGUUUUGUUUAUGGUAAUAGGUUGAUUAGGGUUUUUUAUUUGAUGUCUAUUUAUAUGUUGGUUGAGACAUUGUGAAAGUUAGCUUUUGAUAUUGAUUAUUCAGAAAUUAUUGUGGUUUUUUCUUCCUCAAUUCUGAUUUCUCCUUAUUCUUCUCUUCUCCCUCAUUCUUAUUUCUUCCCCUAUUAUUCUUAAUUCUAUUUCUCUCUCAAUCUCUCUCUUAACCUCUUUCUUAUUUACUUGAAUUCUAUUUUCGAAUCGCCCCUACCCGAUCCUGCAUCACUUAUUGUAAUGCUUUAGGCUGCAGGUUAUUUGUUGGUUGCAAUUCAGGCAAAACAAAAUCAUGGCAAAAUCUUAUAUCCUACUUCCGGAAGUAGGAUGUAUAGCACAGAAAUGUGGAGCACGUGCUGCCAUUACUGUUAAUCCAUUUGUGCUUUUGUAGUGCAGUUCAUUACUGUUAUUGUUUCCUAUUUGAUUAUUGGUACAAUUUUCAUUUAUUUAUUUAUUUAUGUUGAUUGUAGGAAUUUCAUGUGACUGUGUUUUAUAUUUGGUAGCAGUUCUAAUUUCUGAUGAACUGUUGAUAAGCUUGAGGACAGAAUUACUGUUUUGUUUAAGCAUAGUUGUUGUUGCAUCAUUUGCCCACUCUAUCUGCAGGAGAUUUCUUUUUUUUUUUGGCGGUGGUUUGCGGUUCUGAUGGCUGGACUCCUAUGUGGAGGAGAUAUUGGCAUUUAAGUUUUACCGUUUUCAGUUUUUCAAGUGAGGUGAAAAGUUUGUACGUGACCUCCGGUAGCCAGACUGAUCUUCUGAUUGGCUUCUAAAAUGUAUUUUGUUCUCUACAGCUAUAUAUUUCUCUGUAAGUAUUGGAAGGUCCUUGAUAUAGGUGGUAUCGUUGCUUUUCUUUUUCUUUCUUGUUUGAUACAUGUUCUCUCUCGUGGAGAAUGUCUGUUUCCCUAGAUUUACUUUCUUGUUUCUUGGUUGGAUAGUGUUAGAGCAAGUGCAAUUGUAGUGUAUACUGUGUAAAUAAAAUUUAUCUUUUUUAAACUUUAAGAAUAUAAAAUUGAUGUUCUGUUU